AUAAUGAUACUCCCGUAUAGCCACAGCCCGAGCGUGAACAGACUGCCGCAGGCAAUGGAUACGGCUACGUGAGAACCAUGUAGGGGUGGAAUUCCCGUGG
Non-coding RNA from Clostridium sp. DMHC 10, 100 nucleotides. The record is from Rfam. Lineage: Bacteria; Bacillati; Bacillota; Clostridia; Eubacteriales; Clostridiaceae.